Molecule: ribosomal RNA, 1689 nt
Filed under: Helicobacter pylori
Lineage: Bacteria; Pseudomonadati; Campylobacterota; Epsilonproteobacteria; Campylobacterales; Helicobacteraceae
Description: partial 23S ribosomal RNA
Rfam family: Bacterial large subunit ribosomal RNA
Source: RNAcentral
GUGGUAGAAGAGCGUUCAUACCAGCGUUGAAGGUAUACCGGUAAGGAGUGCUGGAGCGGUAUGAAGUGAGCAUGCAGGAAUGAGUAACGAUAAGAUAUAUGAAAAUUGUAUCCGCCGUAAAUCUAAGGUUUCCUACGCGAUGGUCGUCAUCGUAGGGUUAGUCGGGUCCUAAGCCGAGUCCGAAAGGGGUAGGUGAUGGCAAAUUGGUUAAUAUUCCAAUACCGACUUAUGGAGCGUGAUGGGGGGACGCAUAGGGUUAAGCGAGCUAGCUGAUGGAAGCGCUAGUCUAAGGGCGUAGAUUGGAGGGAAGGCAAAUCCACCUCUGUAUUUGAAACCCAAACAGGCUCUUUGAGUCCUUUCAGGACAAAGGGAGAAUCGCUGAUACCGUCGUGCCAAGAAAAGCCUCUAAGCAUAUCCAUAGUCGUCCGUACCGCAAACCGACACAGGUAGAUGAGAUGAGUAUUCUAAGGCGCGUGAAAGAACUCUGGUUAAGGAACUCUGCAAACUAGCACCGUAAGUUCGCGAUAAGGUGUGCCACAGCGAUGUGGUCUCAGCAAAGAGUCCCUCCCGACUGUUUACCAAAAACACAGCACUUUGCCAACUCGUAAGAGGAAGUAUAAGGUGUGACGCCUGCCCGGUGCUCGAAGGUUAAGAGGAUGCGUCAGUCGCAAGAUGAAGCGUUGAAUUGAAGCCCGAGUAAACGGCGGCCGUAACUAUAACGGUCCUAAGGUAGCGAAAUUCCUUGUCGGUUAAAUACCGACCUGCAUGAAUGGCGUAACGAGAUGGGAGCUGUCUCAACCAGAGAUUCAGUGAAAUUGUAGUGGAGGUGAAAAUUCCUCCUACCCGCGGCAAGACGGAGAGACCCCGUGGACCUUUACUACAACUUAGCACUGCUAAUGGGAAUAUCAUGCGCAGGAUAGGUGGGAGGCUUUGAAGUAAGGGCUUUGGCUCUUAUGGAGCCAUCCUUGAGAUACCACCCUUGAUGUUUCUGUUAGCUAACUGGCCUGUGUUAUCCACAGGCAGGACAAUGCUUGGUGGGUAGUUUGACUGGGGCGGUCGCCUCCUAAAAAGUAACGGAGGCUUGCAAAGGUUGGCUCAUUGCGGUUGGAAAUCGCAAGUUGAGUGUAAUGGCACAAGCCAGCCUGACUGUAAGACAUACAAGUCAAGCAGAGACGAAAGUCGGUCAUAGUGAUCCGGUGGUUCUGUGUGGAAGGGCCAUCGCUCAAAGGAUAAAAGGUACCCCGGGGAUAACAGGCUGAUCUCCCCCAAGAGCUCACAUCGACGGGGAGGUUUGGCACCUCGAUGUCGGCUCAUCGCAUCCUGGGGCUGGAGCAGGUCCCAAGGGUAUGGCUGUUCGCCAUUUAAAGCGGUACGCGAGCUGGGUUCAGAACGUCGUGAGACAGUUCGGUCCCUAUCUGCCGUGGGCGUAGGAAAGUUGAGGAGAGCUGUCCCUAGUACGAGAGGACCGGGAUGGACGUGUCACUGGUGCACCAGUUGUUCUGCCAAGAGCAUCGCUGGGUAGCUACACACGGAUGUGAUAACUGCUGAAAGCAUCUAAGCAGGAAGCCAACUCCAAGAUAAACUUUCCCUGAAGCUCGCACAAAGACUAUGUGCUUGAUAGGGUAGAUGUGUAAGCGCAGUAAUGCGUUUAGCUGACUACUACUAAUAGAGCGUUUGGCUUGUUUUUUG